GUCUCACAGAUGUACUCUGCACGUACUUUUUAAAAAAUGACUCAUAGCAUUUAUAAAAUACGAAACUACAUUCUGUGAUCGGGUAAAUAUAUAGAUAGGUAACCAGGCUGGGCUGUUUCAAUAAAUCACAACUUUAAGCCUGGUAGCUUCACGGCGGCGCUCGGCUAGUCACGCGCACUGACGCACACGCAGCUCGCCAAACUCCAUUCAAAAAUCAAGCCAUUUAACUGUUGUGCCCUAAUCCACUUUUUAAAAAACCCAAUUCAACAUUUUUAAUAGAGUUUGGUGCGAGGUGCAAACCGCAGUAUAUUCAACAUUUUAGUGGCUAUCAACUACGUUCUAUGUAUAAAAACAAAUGCCUGACAUACUUUAACACAGAGUAAGACAAGUUAUAAAUAAUAACUUAAUGUAAAGUAAAUAGCCUCUAAUAUAAUCUUGUGUUACUCACCUGCCUGACUACAGCAGAGUGCAGUCACACCAGCCUAUGAAUUUUUCUCUGUGGCACCUCGGCUUCAAAUGAUUUUUCUGAUUACAAGUAAUAAGCAUAAAUGUCUCACUCCAGAUGCAGUUAAAUAAAGUGAUAUGUUCUCUAUCUGGAAAACCUCAGAUCUGAGAGCCAUGGCAUCCACGCGUAAUCUCACCCUUCAUAUUACCAUCACAUGAGGGGAGUGUGACAGGCUCUGGUUAAUCCCAGUGAGAGAAAUGUUCAGUCACAUUUUUUCAACACGUCAUGAACGUUAGAGUGAAUGGGCAUGAAGUCUGCCCUCAUUAAACCCUGUAGCAAAGAAGAAAUGCUAAAGUGGCAGUAAAACUGAGUUGGUUCUUCACCAGGGUUGGCAAAUAGGGCCCUCUGCAUUACCAUUUUUAUUCACAAUUAUUUUACUGAGGGAUACGUGUAAGAUAAUUUGCUUACAUAUCACAUGUGUUCAGCUUUGACAGUGUGCAGGACAUACAGCACAGUCAUUUUAGUUGUUAUUGAAAGCAAGUUUAUUAAAGGAAUAGUUUGCCUUUUUGGUAAAAAUGCUUAUUUUCUGAUUAAAUUUUGGUUUUGAUAUCACGUCAGUGCGUUAUAUAUAGUUCUGGAAAUUCAGAAAUACAACUGAUUUGGUUUUUUUUUUGUUUUUUUGUCUUUUGUCCAUCUUUAAGUUCAAGCAGUAGUCAACAGCGACUGGCUCUCACCCCAAAAAGUCAGCACAGCUCAGGUCAAAGUUCAACAUAUCUGAACUUUCUGUGCAUCCACGAAAAUGGAGAAGAUGCACGCAAAAGGACAGGUUGCACUGUGCUCCAUGAGGAAUGGUAUUUCCUAACGUUUCCCUGCAUCUAUGUCAUGAAAAUGACAAUAAAAGCUGAACUGAACAAAGCAUCCAGAGGAAGCACAAUGUGAAGCCUCUACAAGCAAGUCUUAUAUGCAGUUUAAAAAUUCAUUUAUUGAAAACAAAAAGGGUUAUAAUCUGUGCCCAAGUUUGUUGACAUGUAUUGGCUGUAUCAUAAUAAUAA
Long non-coding RNA from Lates calcarifer (barramundi perch), 1497 nucleotides. RefSeq lists it as uncharacterized. Lineage: Eukaryota; Metazoa; Chordata; Actinopteri; Centropomidae. The record is from RefSeq and is a predicted model, not a curated record. The transcript is spliced from 3 exons.